Molecule: long non-coding RNA, 336 nt
Filed under: Sorghum bicolor (sorghum)
Lineage: Eukaryota; Viridiplantae; Streptophyta; Magnoliopsida; Poales; Poaceae
Description: long non-coding RNA (SBIC_LNC003348)
Source: RNAcentral
UGGCGCAGUGUAGUGUGGCUGUCGAGACUGGAGGCGUCGAGCCCAAGGAACAUGGAUCCUUCUCUAUGCACAUGUGCACCGUGGCGACUGUGACCAUGCAUGGGAAUCCAAAGGCGAAGGCUGCUAUUUUGCUCUGCAGUCAGUUGUUUAUCUAAUUUUUUUAGGCCUUACCGAAAAAUUUUGGUUUUAGGUUAUUGUAGCACUUUCGUUUGUAUUUAGUAAUUAUUAUCUAAUUAUAGACUAAUUAGAGUUAAAAGAUUCGUCUCGUAAAUUAUAAAUAAACUGUGUAAUUAGUUAUUCUUUAGUCUAUAUUUAAUGUUUUAUGCAUGCGUUGAA